RNAcentral lists this ribosomal RNA (373 nucleotides) under uncultured organism. RNAcentral's name for it is "partial 16S ribosomal RNA". It matches the Rfam family "Bacterial small subunit ribosomal RNA", at positions 527 to 896 of the family's 1533-position model. The record is from RNAcentral.
GUAGGUGGCAAGCGUUGUCCGGAAUUAUUGGGCGUAAAGCGCGCGCAGGUGGUUCUUUAAGUCUGAUGUGAAAGCCCCCGGGCUCAACCGGGGAGGGUCAUUGGAAACUGGGGAACUUGAGUGCAGGAGAGGAAAGUGGAAUUCCACGUGUAGCGGUGAAAUGCGUAGAUAUGUGGAGGAACACCAGUGGCGAAGGCGACUUUCUGGCCUGUAACUGACACUGAGGCGCGAAAGCGUGGGGAGCAAACAGGAUUAGAUACCCUGGUAGUCCACGCCGUAAACGAUGAGUGCUAAGUGUUGGGGGGUUUCCGCCCCUCAGUGCUGCAGCUAACGCAUUGAGCACUCCGCCUGGGGGGUACGGUCGCAAAGACUG